This 505-nucleotide ribosomal RNA is filed under the name uncultured bacterium. RNAcentral's name for it is "bacterial SSU rRNA". It matches the Rfam family "Bacterial small subunit ribosomal RNA", at positions 19 to 518 of the family's 1533-position model. The record is from RNAcentral.
CUGGCUCAGGAUGAACGCUGGCGGCGUGCCUAAUACAUGCAAGUCGAACGAGAGAGCUUGCUCUCUAGUGGCGAACGGGUGAGUAACACGUAGGUAACCUGCCUUACAGUUUGGGAUACCCUGGCGAAAGCUAGGCUAAUACCGAAUAAUUGGAUUGGAGGCAUCUCCGAUCUCUAAAAGGGGCCUUUAAAGCCUCGCUGAAUGAUGGACCUGCGGCGCAUUAGCUAGUUGGUGAGAUAACAGCCCACCAAGGCGAGGAUGCGUAGCCGACCUGAGAGGGUGAACGGCCACACUGGAACUGAGACACGGUCCAGACUCCUACGGGAGGCAGCAGUAGGGAGUUUUCGGCAAUGGGGGCAACCCUGACCGAGCAACGCCGCGUGAAUGAUGAAGGUCUUCGGAUUGUAAAGUUCUGUUAUAAGGGAAAAAUGAUAUGUUGAGGAAAUGCUCCAUAUUUGAUGGUACCUUAUUAGAAAGCCACGGCUAACUACGUGCCAGCCGCUGC